GGAUGAACGCUAGCGGCAGGCUUAACACAUGCAAGUCGAGGGGCAACACGGGUAGCAAUACCUGGUGGCGACCGGCGCAAGGGUGCGUAACGCGUGAGCAACAUGCCCUAUACAGGGGGAUAAUCCAGGGAAACUUGGUCUAAUAUCCCAUAGUAUUUAGAGGUGGCAUCACCACUAAAUUAAAGCUUCGGUGGUAUAGGAUUGGCUCGCGUGACAUUAGCUGGAUGGUGGGGUAACGGCUCACCAUGGCGAUGAUGUCUAGGGGUUCUGAGAGGAAGACCCCCCACACUGGGACUGAGACACGGCCCAGACUCCUACGGGAGGCAGCAGUGAGGAAUAUUGGACAAUGGAUGGAAAUCUGAUCCAGCCAUGCCGCGUGCAGGAAGACGGCCCUAUGGGUUGUAAACUGCUUUUAUAUGGGAGCAAUAAGGUUUACGCGUAGACCGAUGAGAGUACCAUAUGAAUAAGCAUCGGCUAACUCCGUGCCAGCAGCCGCGGUAAUACGGAGGAUGCGAGCGUUAUCCGGAUUUAUUGGGUUUAAAGGGUGCGUAGGCGGCCUUGUAAGUCAGCGGUGAAAUUUUGCAGCUUAACUGUAACANUGCCGUUGAUACUGCGGGGCUAGGAUUUGGUUGCUGUGGGUGGAAUGUGUGGUGUAGCGGUGAAAUGCUUAGAUAUCACACAGAAUAUCGAUUGCGAAGGCAGCUCACAAAGCCAAGAUUGACGCUGAGGCACGAAAGUGUGGGGAUCAAACAGGAUUAGAUACCCUGGUAGUCCACACUGUAAACGAUGAUAACUCGCUGCCGGCGAUACACAGUCGGUAGCCAAGCGAAAGCGAUAAGUUAUCCACCUGGGGAGUACGACCGCAAGGUUGAAACUCAAAGGAAUUGACGGGGGCCCGCACAAGCGGAGGAACAUGUGGUUUAAUUCGAUGAUACGCGAGGAACCUUACCCGGGCUCGAACGGUGCAUGAAUAUAAAAGAGAUUUUAUAGUCCUUCGGGACAUGUAUCGAGGUGCUGCAUGGUUGUCGUCAGCUCGUGCCGUGAGGUGUAGGCUUAAGUGCCAUAACGAGCGCAACCCUUGUCGUUAGUUGCCAUCAGGUAAUGCUGGGAACUCUAGCGAGACUGCCACCGUAAGGUGUGAGGAGGGGGGGGAUGACGUCAAAUCAGCACGGCCCUUAUGUCCGGGGCGACACACGUGUUACAAUGGGGGGUACAGAGGGCAGCCAUCCGGUGACGGAGCGCUAAUCUCCAAAACCCUUCUCAGUUCGGAUUGGAGUCUGCAACCCGACUCCAUGAAGUUGGAUUCGCUAGUAAUCGCGCAUCAGCCAUGGCGCGGUGAAUACGUUCCCGGGCCU
RNAcentral lists this ribosomal RNA (1355 nucleotides) under uncultured bacterium. Its description in RNAcentral is "bacterial SSU rRNA". It matches the Rfam family "Bacterial small subunit ribosomal RNA", at positions 27 to 1381 of the family's 1533-position model. The record is from RNAcentral.